UCCGGUUCACUUUAACACUGAGGCGUGAUGACGAGGCACUACGGUGCUGAAGUGACAAAUGCCCUGCUUCCAGGAAAAGCCUCUAAGCAUCAGGUAACACGAAAUCGUACCCCAAACCGACACAGGUGGUCAGGUAGAGAAUACCAAGGCGCUUGAGAGAACUCGGGUGAAGGAACUAGGCAAAAUGGUGCCGUAACUUC
This 200-nucleotide ribosomal RNA is filed under the name Klebsiella sp. DNRA6. RNAcentral's name for it is "partial 23S ribosomal RNA". It matches the Rfam family "Bacterial large subunit ribosomal RNA", at positions 1541 to 1737 of the family's 2925-position model. The record is from RNAcentral. Lineage: Bacteria; Pseudomonadati; Pseudomonadota; Gammaproteobacteria; Enterobacterales; Enterobacteriaceae.